GACGAACGCUGGCGGUGUGCUUAACACAUGCAAGUCGUGCGACGAACCAGACUUCGGUCUGGGGCAAAGCGGCGAACGGGUGAGUAACACGUGGGUAAUCUGCCCCGAUGACUGGGACAACCCGAGGAAACUCGGGCUAAUACCGGAUGUGGUGCCUGGACUCAAGUCCGGUCACUAAAGGUAGCUUCGGCUUCCGCAUUGGGAGGGGCCCGCGGCCCAUUAGCUUGUUGGUGGGGUCAAGGCCUACCAAGGCAACGAUGGGUAGCUGGUCUGAGAGGACGAUCAGCCACACUGGGACUGAGACACGGCCCAGACUCCUACGGGAGGCAGCAGUGGGGAAUCUUGCGCAAUGCGCGAAAGCGUGACGCAGCAACACCGCGUGAGGGAAGACGGCCUUAGGGUUGUAAACCUCUUUCAGAUGGGACGAAGGUGAUGCGGUGAAUAGCCGAUGUCAUUGACGGUACCGUCAGAAGAGGCUCCGGCUAACUACGUGCCAGCAGCCG
Molecule: ribosomal RNA, 503 nt
Filed under: uncultured bacterium
Lineage: Bacteria
Description: bacterial SSU rRNA
Rfam family: Bacterial small subunit ribosomal RNA
Source: RNAcentral